This is a long non-coding RNA of Podarcis raffonei (Aeolian wall lizard), 1666 nucleotides long. RefSeq lists it as uncharacterized. The transcript is spliced from 3 exons. Lineage: Eukaryota; Metazoa; Chordata; Lepidosauria; Squamata; Lacertidae. The record is from RefSeq and is a predicted model, not a curated record.
CCCACAUUCCAUCUGCCUUCUAACAAGGUAGCUCUCCUCCACAAGCAGGGGCUUUUCUCUGGCCAUUCUUUCUCUUGACACAAAUCCAGGUCAUCUGAGAAGGAGAGGCACAGCGGAGCCUUUGCGCCAGAUCCAAAUUUAGAUGCCGGUUUGGCUCUAAAUGACUUAGCCUUUAAGGGUAUUGUAAGCCAAGGGUGUGAUGUAAAUGAAGAAAACUACGUGUAUUUGAUGAGGAAUUGAAAAUAUGUUCCUUCAGACACACGCUCCCUAAUGUGAAGAACUUGAAUCGUUUCCAGAACUUUGUGGAAGUAGUACAUAAACCCUACCAGGAGGGUGCUUGGCACAGGACAGCUCUACUUUGCUCUCCAUUUCAUUGCAUGUCAGACUGUACAGGCUGCUGAAGCCUUUGCCAGCAGGAAUGAAGACAUAUAGAAGCCAGAAAGAGCAAUUCAGCUCAAUUUCCAAAAGGAGGAAACCCAUUAAACUACAUCAAAUGCAGCUGUUUUUAACCAAAUAAAAACCAGCAGGCCAGCAGCACAAGCGAGAGGACUGGCAGAGCAAGCAAGCAAGCAAGAGGACAGAAACAGCAUGCCUAAUGAGCCACCGCAACUAUAACAGGAGUAGCUACAGGGUGAAACAAACCACAUCGACGAUGUAUGUCAUGUCUUGCUUUAAAGGACCCUGAAGCAUUUUUUUAAAAAACACACCAAACAAACUGUAUACUGGUACAAGUGUGACUUUAUCACCCAUUACAGAACCACUGCAGAGAGGUACAGAGCUAUUCUUUUACAGCUCACAGCUACACUAUGCAAACACUUUAGGACAUAUAAAUUGUGCCUACCUGGGGAGAUUUAGAGAGGGACACGUUAAGCUCUCAGGCAGGUCUUUGGCUGUGUAAAAAGGUUUAUUUCCACAUUUUCCCCAUAAAGAGCCCUCUGCUAUUUUAAAAGCACACAAAGCAAUCAAGAAAGGAGAUUGGAACAAAAUGUCCAAAACAUUUUGCUUCAGUAAAAUGCUGAUAUGUGAACAUAUAGCAGAAACUCUUUUAUCAAAUACUGAGUUACAAAAGCUGUUGGGUAUCCAGGAUACUAAUGUUUAUUAUAUGCAUUGAAGUUCCAAUUAUCUGUACCUCCGGCUGUCUGAGAGUUCCUCCAGAUGACCUGUUUAUUGAGCAUUCAUCCUGAUUUGCUUGCACAAAGCUUACACAAAGGUUAAACUAUGUCCAGUCUUUAUUGAGCAUUUGUUAUGAGGAGGUCACAUGACAAUUAGCAUUCAUUUUGAAUUCAUUCUGAUUUGUCUCCAUUGUCAUUCUAUAUAUUUCCAUUAAUAUUUCAUUUAUCCCACACACUUUAGUGCAUUUUCCUCAUUGCAAAAAAGUAAUUUUAUUAAAAAGUAGAUUUGUUGCACCAUUGCAUCAGAGCACUUUAAUUGCACAAACCUAAAUCUCUGGUAUGCACUUAAAUCUCUCUUACAAAAUAUUGACAGUGAUUUGUAUGUUUGUAAGCCCUUGAAAAGAUAAUGACUUGAAUGCUAAGCAUGUAUAUUUGAGGACAGUAUUCCAUAUUUAGAACACAAUGGAAAAGGUCCUGUCUCUGACAGCCAACCCACCCAGCUUCUGAAAGUAGGGAACCCUGAGAAGGGCUUCAGCUGCAAUCAGGAAACAGUA